This 510-nucleotide ribosomal RNA is filed under the name uncultured bacterium. RNAcentral describes it as "partial 16S ribosomal RNA". It matches the Rfam family "Bacterial small subunit ribosomal RNA", at positions 28 to 507 of the family's 1533-position model. The record is from RNAcentral.
GACGAACGCUGGCGGCGUGCUUAACACAUGCAAGUCGAACGAAGAGCGACGGAAGCUUGCUUCUAUCAAUCUUAGUGGCGAACGGGUGAGUAACGCGUAAUCAACCUGCCCUUCAGAGGGGGACAACAGUUGGAAACGACUGCUAAUACCGCAUACGAUCUAAUCUCGGCAUCGAGGAUGGAUGAAAGGUGGCCUCUACAUGUAAGCUAUCACUGAAGGAGGGGAUUGCGUCUGAUUAGCUAGUUGGAGGGGUAACGGCCCACCAAGGCGAUGAUCAGUAGCCGGUCUGAGAGGAUGAACGGCCACAUUGGGACUGAGACACGGCCCAGACUCCUACGGGAGGCAGCAGUGGGGAAUCUUCCGCAAUGGACGAAAGUCUGACGGAGCAACGCCGCGUGAGUGAUGACGGCCUUCGGGUUGUAAAGCUCUGUUAAUCGGGACGAAAGGCCUUCUUGCGAAUAGUGAGAAGGAUUGACGGUACCGGAAGAGAAAGCCACGACUAACUACGUG